This 170-nucleotide ribosomal RNA is filed under the name Chytridiomycota sp. RNAcentral's name for it is "partial small subunit ribosomal RNA". It matches the Rfam family "Eukaryotic small subunit ribosomal RNA", at positions 1352 to 1542 of the family's 1831-position model. Lineage: Eukaryota; Fungi; Chytridiomycota. The record is from RNAcentral.
UAAAUAGCAACGCACACUUCGGUGUAGCGGUCUGCUUCUUAGAGGGACUGUCGAUGUUUAAUCGACGGAAGUUUGAGGCAAUAACAGGUCUGUGAUGCCCUUAGAUGUUCUGGGCCGCACGCGCGCUACACUGAUCAAGGCAGCGAGUGUAUCACCUUGGCCGGAAGGUC